This 2350-nucleotide ribosomal RNA is filed under the name human gut metagenome. Its description in RNAcentral is "bacterial LSU rRNA". It matches the Rfam family "Bacterial large subunit ribosomal RNA", at positions 586 to 2814 of the family's 2925-position model. The record is from RNAcentral.
UUGUGGGGUGACGGCGUGCCUAUCGAAAAAUGAGUCUGCGAGUCAGUGGCGGGUGGCGAGCAUAAGCCGUGUGGCGUAUGCGUAGCGAAAGCGAGUCUUAAAAGGCGUUUUCAGUCGCUUGUCCUGGACCCGAAGCGGGAUGAUCUAGCCCUGGGCAGGUUGAAGCGCGGGUAAGACCGCGUGGAGGACCGAACCCACCUGGGUUGAAAACCGGGGGGAUGACCUGGGGCUAGGGGUGAAAGGCCAAUCAAAUUCCGUGAUAGCUGGUUCUCUCCGAAAUGCAUUUAGGUGCAGCGUCGGUCGAUUGCGUCGCGGGGGUAGAGCUACCGGAUGCUUGCGGGCCCUUGUUGGGUACCAACAGCAGCCGAACUCCGAAUACCGUUGACGUGUAUUCCGGCAGUGAGUCGGCGGGGGAUAAGCUCCGUCGUCGAGAGGGAGACAGCCCAGACCGUCGUCUAAGGUCCCGAAGCGUGUGCUAAGUGGGAAAGGAUGUGGAGUCGCAUAGACAGCCAGGAGGUUGGCUCAGAAGCAGCCAUCCUUGAAAGAGUGCGUAACAGCUCACUGGUCUAGUGGUUCCGCGCCGACAAUGUAGCGGGGCUCAAGCACACCACCGAAGACGCGGCAGCAAUCUUCAUGGUUGCUGGGUAGGAGAGCGUCCUGCGAGGGGCGAAGCGGCCGGGUAACCGUGCCGUGGACUUCGUGGGAGUGAGAAUGCAGACAUGAGUAGCGAGAGACGGGUGAGGAUCCCGUCCGCUGGAUGACCAAGGGUUCCGGGGCCACGUUCGUCGUCCCCGGGUGAGUCGGGUCCUAAGGCGAGGCCGACAGGCGUAGUCGAAUGGAUGAACGGGUGGAUAUUCCCGUACCGACCAUGGACCGGCAAAACCGAGACGGUGAGUACUAACCUCCGCCUCGUGGUGGUUCCUUCCUUCGGGUUGGUUCCGCCGCGUGGUGUUGGGAGCGUAGCCGUAGUAGGUCAGCGCAGGGGUGACACGGAAUGGGAGCCGGCCGCGGAGGUGGUUUUCCGUGGUCAAGCACGCAGCCAGUCAUGUAGGCAAAUCCGCAUGGCGCGCAUGGCGAGGUGUGAUGAUGGGAGCCUUUUGGGCUCGAUAUCCGGUUGUCCAGGCCGUCGAGAAAAGCCUCGGCGUGAGGGCCAUGGCCGCCCGUACCCCAAACCGACACUGGUGGUCAGGUAGAGAAUACCAAGGCGAUCGAGCGAAUCCUGGUCAAGGAACUCGGCAAAUCACUCCCGUGCCUUCGGUAUAAGGGAGACCCGCUGGGGUGAACCGGCUAGCCCGGGGAGCUUUGGUGGGUGGCACAGACCAGGGGGUAGCGACUGUUUACCAAAAACACAGGUGCAUGCGAAGGCGCAAGCCGCUGUAUAUGCACUGACGCCUGCCCGGUGCCGGAAGGUUAAGAGGAUCCGUCAGCCUUCGGGUGAAGCGGUGAAUUCAAGCCCCGGUAAACGGCGGUGGUAACUAUAACCAUCCUAAGGUAGCGAAAUUCCUUGUCGGGUAAGUUCCGACCUGCACGAAUGGCGUAACGACUUCCCCACUGUCUCGACCAGGAGCUCGGCGAAAUUGCAGUACGAGUAAAGAUGCUCGUUAAGCGCAGAAGGACGAAAAGACCCCGGGACCUUUACUAUACCUUGGUAUUGGCGUUAGGCGCGGAUUGUGUAGCAUAGGCGGGAGGCUUCGAAGCGGGUGCGCCAGCAUUCGUGGAGCCGCAAGGUGAAAUACCGCUCUGUUCUCGUUUGACGUCUCACCUCGAACAGUCAUCCUGUUCAGGGACAGUGCCUGGCGGGUAGUUUAACUGGGGCGGUUGCCUCCCAAAGAGUAACGGAGGCGCUCAAAGGUCCGCUCAGCCCGGUUGGCAAUCGGGUGUCGAGUGUAAUCGCACAAGCGGGCUUGACUGCGAGGACGACGGUCCGAGCAGGGACGAAAGUCGGAGAUAGUGAUCCGGUGCCGGCGCACGGGCGCGGCAUCGCUCAACGGAUAAAAGGUACCCCGGGGAUAACAGGCUGAUCAUUCCCAAGAGUCCAUAUCGACGGGAUGGUUUGGCACCUCGAUGUCGGCUCGUCGCAUCCUGGGGCUGGAGCAGGUCCCAAGGGUUCGGCUGUUCGCCGAUUAAAGCGGCACGCGAGCUGGGUUCAGAACGUCGUGAGACAGUUUGGUCUCUAUCCUCUGCGCUCGUUGGAAUCCUGAGGAGGCCUGCCCAUAGUACGAGAGGACCUGGGUGGACGAACCUCUGGUAUGCCGGUUGUCGCGCCAGCGGCACGGCCGGUUGGCUACGUUCGGGAGGGAUAACCGCUGAAAGCAUCUAAGCGGGAAGCCUGCUCCAAGAUUAGGAUUCC